Molecule: ribosomal RNA, 800 nt
Filed under: uncultured Bacillota bacterium
Lineage: Bacteria; Bacillati; Bacillota
Description: bacterial SSU rRNA
Rfam family: Bacterial small subunit ribosomal RNA
Source: RNAcentral
AAAGCAGGAGCAAUCUUGUGAGUAAAGUGGCGUACGGGUGAGUAACACGUGGAUCAUCUACCCUCUUGUGGGGGAUAACCCUGGGAAACCGGAGCUAAUACCGCAUAAGUCCGAGAGGAGAAAGCAGCAAUGCGCAGGAGGAGGAGUCCGCGGCCGAUUAGCUAGUUGGUAGGGUAAAAGCCUACCAAGGCUACGAUCGGUAGCCGGCCUGAGAGGGCACACGGCCACACUGGCACUGAAACACGGGCCAGACUCCUACGGGAGGCAGCAGUGGGGAAUCUUGCACAAUGGGGGCAACCCUGAUGCAGCGACGCCGCGUGAGCGAUGAAGCCCUUCGGGGUGUAAAGCUCUUUCGGCAGGGAAGAUUAUGACGGUACCUGCAGAAGCAGCUGCGGCUAACUACGUGCCAGCAGCCGCGGUAAUACGUAGGCAGCAAGCGUUGUUCGGAGUUACUGGGCGUAAAGGGUGUGUAGGCGGUUCUCUAAGUCUGGUGUGAAAUCUCCCGGCUCAACUGGGAGGGUGCGCCGAAAACUGGAGGGCUAGAGUGCGGGAUGGGAGAGUGGAAUUCCUGGUGUAGCGGUGAAAUGCGUAGAUAUCAGGAGGAACACCUGUGGUGUAGACGGCUCUCUGGACCGCAACUGACGCUGAAACACGAAAGCGUGGGUAGCAAACAGGAUUAGAUACCCUGGUAGUCCACGCCCUAAACGAUGCAUAUUUGGUGUGGGCCAUUCAUUUGGUCUGUGCCAGAGCUAACGCGUUAAAUAUGCCGCCUGGGGAGUACGGUCGCAAGGCUGAAACUC